Molecule: ribosomal RNA, 452 nt
Filed under: Anguilla marmorata (giant mottled eel)
Lineage: Eukaryota; Metazoa; Chordata; Actinopteri; Anguilliformes; Anguillidae
Description: partial 16S ribosomal RNA
Rfam family: Bacterial large subunit ribosomal RNA
Source: RNAcentral
CUGUAUGAAUGGCAUAACGAGGGUUUAACUGUCUCCCUCCCCCAGUCAAUGAAAUUGAUCUGCCCGUGCAGAAGCGGACAUAAACACAUAAGACGAGAAGACCCUAUGGAGCUUUAGACAAAAGAUCAAACAUGUAAAGAAACCAAACCAACCAAAAGGAACACAAAGGCCACAAAACCCAACGUAAAAUGAUCAAAAUGUCUUCGGUUGGGGCGACCAUGGGGGAAAGAAAAGCCCCCACGAGGAACUAAGGGCAAUCCAUUAAGCCAAGAGAUACACCUCUAAGCAACAGAAAAUCUGACCAAAAAUGACCCAGGACACUAAUCCUGAUCAACGAACCAAGUUACCCUAGGGAUAACAGCGCAAUCCUUUCCCAGAGUCCAUAUCGACGAAAGGGUUUACGACCUCGAUGUUGGAUCAGGACAUCCUAAUGGUGCAGCCGCUAUUAAGGG